This 138-nucleotide small RNA is filed under the name Paraburkholderia caribensis. RNAcentral's name for it is "Bp1_684". It matches the Rfam family "Burkholderia sRNA Bp1_Cand684_SIPHT". Lineage: Bacteria; Pseudomonadati; Pseudomonadota; Betaproteobacteria; Burkholderiales; Burkholderiaceae. The record is from RNAcentral.
AGAAAAGUAGGUGCCGCCCCGCACAGGGGCGACGCUUGAAGCGAGCUAACGAAUCGCGGAUGCCAGCGCAAAAGCAAAGGUAAAUGGACAGAGGCAGCGCAUAACCAUAAGAAGCCAUAACGCGCAUGCGAGCCCGUA